RNAcentral lists this long non-coding RNA (1127 nucleotides) under Lepisosteus oculatus (spotted gar). RNAcentral's name for it is "lncRNA (ENSLOCG00000021659.1)". The record is from RNAcentral. Lineage: Eukaryota; Metazoa; Chordata; Actinopteri; Semionotiformes; Lepisosteidae.
GGAGGCAUUGCGAUGUACAGAGGGUUCUGGGAGAAUGGAACAAGCUGCCCAGUCCCGCUGUCAAAGCCCAGACUCCGGCUGCUUUCACAAAGUGUUCUAAUUCCACUUAUUUCUGGAAUCCUCUCCGCUUUCCUCCAGGAAAUUUUCGUGUUCACCCCAGGCCCCACCUCAGCAACGCAGAACAACCGGCAGAAGCAUUUAAACGAGAAGCAACACAAGCCCACCUGGAUCAAGAACUGUCGAAGAGCAGAAUGGGAACAUUCCAGGAUGCCCAGACUAAGGAUUUGUCACCAGAAGAGGGGCCUUCGUCGGACACGCCUGACAUCAUCGCCAAACGGAAGUUCAAACAGUCGCCGUCCGAUUCAGAUGACCAUUGAUCUCCAAGAUAUCUCAACAAGGUUUUGGAAAAAUGAAACCCUUUUUGUAAAGGGUAAAUGCUUUACAGCAAAGGAAAUGAAACAUGAUGUAUGCAGCAACUUGGAGGUUCUGCGUUGCCCUUUUGGUUAAUAAAUAGCUCACUAAGACAUUGAGUCUGAAUGUUUCAUCUUGUAUACCAGCUAAGCACCAGUACAUUUCUUCUCAAAAGAACAGUACCACCCCAGCCAGCUUUCUAUCAUACUCCUCAAGAUGAAGAAAGUCAGAUAUCCACUUCCUACCAGUACCACUCCCUUGCUCCCUUUUACUGACAUUUUCAAGCGUUUUUUGCUUCUUUCACGACAUGAUCUCUCACAGAGCUGGGAGUCAGCAGGUAUUGUGUGUCACCUGGAUAAGGUCCAUUUAGCGGGUCAGCACCGUAACAGACAGACACAGUCAGACACACUCAGUCACACUGCAGGAAUGCAAGAGGGGAGAGAAAGGCAAUGCCAGUGUCUCUCCUCUCGUUUCUGCAACAUCUCUACGGCAUCUCGUAAAAACCCAAACCAAGAAGGUAAAAUAGCAAGGGUGAAAGUAGGAAUAUAACAAAGGUAGUGUUAAACUGAUUAAUGACUGUCCAAAUUGCUCAUCACGUAAAAAGAACAGUAACAUGUUUAAAGUCAAUUUAAUUAUAUUAAUGUGAUAUUAACCCCCCCCCACUAUACUUUAGAUUAAUUGUAUGAUAAUUAGACCUUAAUCCUGAACAACAUACC